CCUCGCUGUCCCGCGUCAGUGUGGCGCCUGCAGCCUCGAGGCCCUCGGGCCUGAGCCGCCGCCUCCUGCUCCUGCUCCUGCCGCAGCUGCUGCUGCUGAUCUCAGGAAACCCAGGCCAUCAGGUGCUGUCUCCGUUGACUCCCUCCAGCCCCCAGAGGCGCCUCUGAACCUCACUAUUCAUCGCCACCCUCCCCGCUUUCUGUCGGAAUCAGAGACAGGCCUCCAGUUCAAGGUUACAAAGGAGACAACACCAAACCAGGUGGGUUGGGUGAGCCAUUGCUUCAGGAAAACCUCAGUUCCUGGGAGGGUAUGUUCUGAAGAAGGUCACAGAGAGAGUGUUUUGAGGUCUGUAGAAGCAGAAGUUUUUUGGGGGAAGGGUCUAUUUGUCAACCCUUGUUAAUACCACACUGUUUUUGUUAUUAUGGCUUUGAUGUGUCUUUUUUUGUAUAUAUAUAUUUUUAUUGAAGUAUAGUCAAUUUACUAUGUGUCAGUUUCUAGUGUACAGCAUACUGCUUCAGUCAUACAUGAACAUAUACGUAUUCAUUUUCAUAUCCUUUUUCAUUAUAAGUCACUACAAGAUAUUGAAUAUAGUUCCCUGUGCUAUACAGUAUGAACUUGUUCAUCUAUUUUAUAUAUAAUUGUAAGUAUCUGCAAAUC
Camelus dromedarius (Arabian camel) is the source of this 657-nucleotide long non-coding RNA. RefSeq lists it as uncharacterized. The record is from RefSeq and is a predicted model, not a curated record. Lineage: Eukaryota; Metazoa; Chordata; Mammalia; Artiodactyla; Camelidae. The transcript is spliced from 3 exons.